Mycena filopes is the source of this 93-nucleotide non-coding RNA. The record is from the annotation of a GenBank genome assembly. NCBI's taxonomy places the organism in Eukaryota, Fungi, Basidiomycota, Agaricomycetes, Agaricales, Mycenaceae.
CACUCGAUGGCACACGGUGUGCGCCUGCCAGUGGUGCGUAGCCAUCUCCGGAGUUUUAAGCAGGAGGCCCCGGUUCGAUUCCGGGUCGGGUGU